RNAcentral lists this ribosomal RNA (274 nucleotides) under uncultured bacterium. Its description in RNAcentral is "partial 16S ribosomal RNA". It matches the Rfam family "Archaeal small subunit ribosomal RNA", at positions 473 to 747 of the family's 1478-position model. The record is from RNAcentral.
AAACCAGCACCUCAAGUGGUCAGGAGGAUUAUUGGGCCUAAAGCAUCCGUAGCCUGUUCUGUAAGUUUCCGGUUAAAUCCAUUAGCUCAACUAAUGGGCCGCCGAAAAUACUGCAAAACUAGGGAGUGGGAGAGGUAGACGGUACUCGGUAGGAAGGGGUAAAAUCCUUUGAUCUAUUGAUGACCACCUGUGGCGAAGGCGGUCUACCAGAACACGUUCGACGGUGAGGGAUGAAAGCUGGGGGAGCAAACCGGAUUAGAAACCCCAGUAGUCC